UGCAGUCGACGAACUCUUCGGAGUUAGUGGCGGACGGGUGAGUAACACGUGGGAACGUGCCUUUAGGUUCGGAAUAACUCAGGGAAACUUGUGCUAAUACCGAAUGUGCCCUUCGGGGGAAAGAUUUAUCGCCUUUAGAGCGGCCCGCGUCUGAUUAGCUAGUUGGUGAGGUAAAGGCUCACCAAGGCGACGAUCAGUAGCUGGUCUGAGAGGAUGAUCAGCCACAUUGGGACUGAGACACGGCCCAAACUCCUACGGGAGGCAGCAGUGGGGAAUCUUG
Molecule: ribosomal RNA, 280 nt
Filed under: Brevundimonas sp. MCA2.9
Lineage: Bacteria; Pseudomonadati; Pseudomonadota; Alphaproteobacteria; Caulobacterales; Caulobacteraceae
Description: partial 16S ribosomal RNA
Rfam family: Bacterial small subunit ribosomal RNA
Source: RNAcentral